RNAcentral lists this ribosomal RNA (476 nucleotides) under uncultured Streptococcus sp. RNAcentral describes it as "bacterial SSU rRNA". It matches the Rfam family "Bacterial small subunit ribosomal RNA", at positions 901 to 1382 of the family's 1533-position model. The record is from RNAcentral. Lineage: Bacteria; Bacillati; Bacillota; Bacilli; Lactobacillales; Streptococcaceae.
UUAAAGGAAUUGACGGGGCCGCGCAAGCGGUGGAGCAUGUGGUUAAUUCGAAGCAACGCGAAGAACCUUACCAGGUCUUGACAUCCCGAUGCUAUUUCUAGAGAUAGAAAGUUACUUCGGUACAUCGGUGACAGGUGGUGCAUGGUUGUCGUCAGCUCGUGUCGUGAGAUGUUGGGUUAAGUCCCGCAACGAGCGCAACCCCUAUUGUUAGUUGCCAUCAUUCAGUUGGGCACUCUAGCGAGACUGCCGGUAAUAAACCGGAGGAAGUGGGGAUGACGUCAAAUCAUCAUGCCCCUUAUGACCUGGGCUACACACGUGCUACAAUGGUUGGUACAACGAGUUGCGAGUCGGUGACGGCGAGCUAAUCUCUUAAAGCCAAUCUCAGUUCGGAUUGUAGGCUGCAACUCGCCUACAUGAAGUCGGAAUCGCUAGUAAUCGCGGAUCAGCACGCCGCGGUGAAUACGUUCCCGGGCCUU